This is a non-coding RNA of Onthophagus taurus, 1328 nucleotides long. NCBI's taxonomy places the organism in Eukaryota, Metazoa, Arthropoda, Insecta, Coleoptera, Scarabaeidae. The record is from RefSeq and is a predicted model, not a curated record.
UAAAAGGAAAAGAAGCAUUAAUAUAAUUAAAUAGAAAAAACAAUAAUCAGUUUUAGUUGCGCCAUCUAAUGGAUUUGACUCAAAAUAAAAAAUGUAAAUGUCAUUUUGCACAUAUUUUAUAGAAAUCUAACCAUUAUUAAUUUAAUAAAUCAAUUGAAAAGACAAAAAUUAGAUAUAACUUAGUAAAAUUAAAAUUCAUCUAAUAGAAAGUGUAUUCGAAACACCCGUUAAAGUGUAAGUAUUAAUUUAAAACCGCUUAUAUUUCAUUGGAGACACUUUCGCCCGUCUCAUUUUGAACUUUAAAAUCCGGACCAAACGGUGAAAGCAAGUUCUAACUGUAAAUAAAUCUAUAACUCUAUCUGAUAACUUAUAGCCAUCAAUUUAAAAUGUUUAUAAAUAAAAAUAUUAUCGCAUACAAAAAGAUUAUGUUUAUUCCACGUAGAUAAUAAAUUCAAGGUCACUUUAACAAUCGUUUCUAACCUCAAUUCUGUUUCCAAAACUUCAAACUUGUUUUAUUUUUUCUGUCUAUUAAUAAUCCGUUCUUUCUUCAAUCCUUUCUUAUUUUAAUAAAAAAACUUAAUAGAUACCGUGCCAGUUGUGGUUAUGCGAUUUAAUUGAUUCUUGUUGAAUUCUUUUAGUUUGGUUCAGCUGUUACUCAUUUCGAUUAAUUUUGAUGGGAAGAAUGAAGAAGAAAAGCGCUGUAUAAAUCCAUAUUCUGAAUUAAUACUUUCUAGUGUACUAAGAAGCCAAAACUUGAGUCCGAUAAAAAGAAUCAAAUGUGCUCUAUUACUGCAUAUGCGUCGUUUGCAGAAGAUCAUCUACACAAAGGAGGCUCUGCAUAACCAAUAACUUUAGGGAUAAUGUAUUUGCGUUCAAUCAAAAGUAAUUAAGUUUGUAGUAUAACAACACUCACGGACAGGUCGUAACAACAAAAAGCUGAUUAUGCAGCUCUCAAACAAAAUUGAAAUUAUUUUGUCCAUGCUGGAAACUUCAAAAAAAAAUCAGUAAUUGCGUAUUCCAAAUAUUUGCAGAUCCAAUUGUGAUUCUAUCAAGUCAAGUUAGAUGAUCAAAUGUUCUAGAGUGAUGAUUCCUCCCACUUACUUGGGCAACAAUACCUUUUUUUUCCUGCACGACUUUAUGAGAUGGAGAUACAUCAUGACUGCAUACUCUACUAAAGUUGUAUUAGUGUCUAGAUGACUUGACAUGAGAUUCAACAACUGGACAACUGAAGAAAGAAAUUGUGGCUCUUAUUGUAGUGGUAUCCAAAUAAUUCUGGGCUAAUUGUAAACAAAAUAAUUCAGUAAAUCAAUUGUUAAAUGCAUUAAAAA